RNAcentral lists this ribosomal RNA (253 nucleotides) under uncultured bacterium. Its description in RNAcentral is "partial 16S ribosomal RNA". It matches the Rfam family "Bacterial small subunit ribosomal RNA", at positions 524 to 776 of the family's 1533-position model. The record is from RNAcentral.
UACGAGCGGCCCAAACGUUAUUCGGAAUUACUGGGCUUAAAGAGUUCGUAGGCGGCGCGGAAAGUGGGGUGUGAAAGCCCUCGGCUCAACCGAGGAAUUGCGCUCCAAACUACCGUGCUUGAGGAAGCUAGAGGUGAGCAGAACUGAUGGUGGAGCGGUGAAAUGCGUUGAUAUCAUCAGGAAUACCGGAGGCGAAGGCGGCUCACUGGGGCUUUUCUGACGCUGAGGAACGAAAGCCAGGGUAGCAAACAGG